UACGUAGGGCGCAAGCGUUGUCCGGAAUUAUUGGGCGUAAAGAGCUCGUAGGCGGUUUGUCGCGUCUGUCGUGAAAGCUUGGGGCUUAACCCCAAGUCUGCGGUGGAUACGAGCAGACUAGAGGCAGGUAGGGGAGAACGGAAUUCCCGGUGUAGCGGUGAAAUGCGCAGAUAUCGGGAGGAACACCGGUGGCGAAGGCGGUUCUCUGGGCCUGUACUGACGCUGAGGAGCGAAAGCGUGGGUAGCAAACAGG
RNAcentral lists this ribosomal RNA (253 nucleotides) under uncultured bacterium. RNAcentral describes it as "partial 16S ribosomal RNA". It matches the Rfam family "Bacterial small subunit ribosomal RNA", at positions 524 to 776 of the family's 1533-position model. The record is from RNAcentral.